GCGCCCGUAGCUCAGUGGAUAGAGUACUGGCCUCCGAAGCCAGGGGUCGCUGGUUCGAUCCCAGCCGGGCGCG
Molecule: transfer RNA, 73 nt
Filed under: Vitreoscilla filiformis
Lineage: Bacteria; Pseudomonadati; Pseudomonadota; Betaproteobacteria; Neisseriales; Neisseriaceae
Also listed under: 2 other names
Rfam family: tRNA
About the family: Transfer RNA (tRNA) molecules are approximately 80 nucleotides in length. Their secondary structure includes four short double-helical elements and three loops (D, anti-codon, and T loops). Further hydrogen bonds mediate the characteristic L-shaped molecular structure. tRNAs have two regions of fundamental functional importance: the anti-codon, which is responsible for specific mRNA codon recognition, and the 3' end, to which the tRNAs corresponding amino acid is attached (by aminoacyl-tRNA synthetases). tRNAs cope with the degeneracy of the genetic code in two manners: having more than one tRNA (with a specific anti-codon) for a particular amino acid; and 'wobble' base-pairing, i.e. permitting non-standard base-pairing at the 3rd anti-codon position.
Source: Rfam by way of RNAcentral